GAUGAACGCUGGCGGCGUGCCUAAUACAUGCAAGUCGAGCGAACAGACGAGGAGCUUGCUCCUCUGACGUUAGCGGCGGACGGGUGAGUAACACGUGGAUAACCUACCUAUAAGACUGGGAUAACUUCGGGAAACCGGAGCUAAUACCGGAUAAUAUAUUGAACCGCAUGGUUCAAUAGUGAAAGACGGUUUUGCUGUCACUUAUAGAUGGAUCCGCGCCGCAUUAGCUAGUUGGUAAGGUAACGGCUUACCAAGGCAACGAUGCGUAGCCGACCUGAUAGGGUGAUCGGCCACACUGGAACUGAGACACGGUCCAGACUCCUACGGGAGGCAGCAGUAGGGAAUCUUCCGCAAUGGGCGAAAGCCUGACGGAGCAACGCCGCGUGAGUGAUGAAGGUCUUCGGAUUGUAAAACUCUGUUAUUAGGGAAGAACAAAUGUGUAAGUAACUAUGCACGUCUUGACGGUACCUAAUCAGAAAGCCACGGCUAACUACGUG
RNAcentral lists this ribosomal RNA (497 nucleotides) under uncultured bacterium. RNAcentral describes it as "partial 16S ribosomal RNA". It matches the Rfam family "Bacterial small subunit ribosomal RNA", at positions 28 to 507 of the family's 1533-position model. The record is from RNAcentral.